CCUGAAAAAGGAAAUAUCUCAAAUAAUAAUAACUAUUAAAAAGAAAAAUUAUUUUCUUCUUCGAAUAACAAGCAGUAAAUAAUAAAUAUAUUCAUUGAGUAUGCGCCUGCUCAAUUACAUAACCUAUUUAUCAUAUACGAAGAACAAAUUGAUUUUAUUCUAUUUAUUACGUAAAUAUGAGUAACAAGGUUGCACGCGAUACGAUAGAAAUAUUAGCGAUGAAAGGAUAAAAAUACGAAAGCAGGUAUGUUUAUCAAUGGUCGGUAAGUAUGUACACAAUUUGAACAUCAAUGCUAGCAAAUCUAGAUAACCUAGAUAAUCGAGAGAAAGAGUGCCUGCCAAACUUCUUUUUACCACGUAUAUAACGCGAUGCUGUAUCUUGCGUGUCGUGUCUUUCUCGCGACAUACAUUUUUCCCACAGCGAUCAACGAUCGACACAACGAUAGAUUCCGAGAAACGAAUGUAGGGCCGAAAGAAAGGAGCGUUUUCGAACGAAACGGCCUCGCUGUCCCUCCUUACAAGGCAUCUUAACCGGACGAUUGAACAUACCGACCUUGCCGGUGUUGAACUCUGUCAGGAAACUCGCCCACUAGGACUGUUUGUGCAACAUUGGUAACGGAAAUUCGAUGAGAAAGGAGAUAAAAAAAAAUACGUAUAUAAAACGUUAACAGGUUCGCCUACUAUUAUGGCUAACUCGCGUCAAUGUAAUCGUUCGUAACUUCAUUAACGACAUCUUGCGAAAUCGGUGAGAAGUACGAUCGAGAAAGUUUAUAAUCGAUAUUUCGUUUAAUUACAACGAUUAGGAUUAAUUUUCUUUUUUACAAAGAUAGAUACGUGGAAUUGUUUCUUAUUAUGCAUAUAAACUGUAAUAUAAUCGUUAAUUAUUCCUUUUCUAGAUUAUUAAAGUAAUAUAAAAAUUAUGUGGAUCUCUAUAAAUCCAUCGUUAAGUGGCAUUCACAUUUUUCGACUGAAAUCAAUUUUUAAAUGUUGAUAAACUGAGGAUAGAAAAGAAAGAAAAAUUUCUUGUGAUUUAUGAUCGCAAUAUUAUAUUCGGGAAGGAAAAUAUAUUAUCAUUUAGAUGUAUUCUUUAAUAAUGGAUAAUAAUGGUUGGAUAUUAUUCAAAGUUCAGAGAGAAGCUGAAGAUUACGCCUAUAGAAUGCCAGCUAUGAAAGGAAAUUCUUUCACCUUCUUGCAGGAUAUUAGUCGACAUUCGAAGAAUAUUAAUGGAAGGCAGAAGAUCGUUGACCGACGAAUAUGGCGAAAAAAGAAAUAUAUAAAAUUUACGGUGUGGCAAAUUGCGGUAGCCCAUUCUCAAUCAAUACAGCGUUUCUUUUGUAUGAAUCUUGCAUACAAAACGAGUUUUAACUGUACCAGAUGUGUGCAGAGACAAGAAUAGAGGAGGAAAAAAAUUGAUCUUAUCUGGGACUCGUUUUUAAACGGAUCUUAAUACGCACGAAUCUAUUUCUAAAAAAAAAAAAAAAGUAAAUAAAUAUUCCUUAUAGAAAAUAUAUAAAAUAAAUAAGCAUCAAAUUUCAAACAUUUCUUUCGUAAAUAUAAAUCAAAAUAAAAUAUAAAUUGAAAGUUAUGUAAAAUAGAAAUUAAUUCAUAAAGUAAAGUUUCAUACGCAUAAGUGUAUAUAAAGGAGGAAACGAUUCUUAAAAAAAAAAAAACCAAUUUGUGCCGGAUGCAAGCAAUAGUAUCGUCUUUUUAUUCGCGGAAUGAUUCAUACGAUGCAAGAAUGCGGUGCUCGAAUGCGUGUCGUUCCCAUUGUACACCGAUUUUAUGUAUACGUGUGCACAUGUAUGUCGUGCUCAUUAUAAGAGAAGAGACUGUAUUGCAGGUAGAGCUUAAAGGAUUGGAUAAAAAUAUCGUUUGUAAAUAUCGUUGCCGUGAUAAAAGAUCUUUAUUGCAUUUAAAAAUAAACAAAACGUAUAUGAACUUUAAGUGAAUUUUUUUUUUCUAAAAAUUAACACGUGCAAACUUACGAACCACACCGUCUGUCUACUUUCGAUUUUGAAAUAGAUUUGGAACGUGUAAAAAUUAUGCAUCGAAGAAUUUGUUCUAAACUGCCUUAAAUUAUCACGUGCUACGUUUUUAUUACACAACGGCCUCGAUACAUAGAUAAUGAUGGAGCGUUCGACUUGCGUAAGAAGAAACAUGGUAAUUGUGUAACUGCAUUGUAGAGAGCUGCCACUACCGCCCACGAUACUUCCGAUCUCUUGACAAUUUUUAUCGCAUUGCCUUAGAUGUCACUGUACGCGAUUGCGUAUGUUCACCCUAACAGAUUCAUAUGAUCCUUUAUACGACAAAUCACUCAAUAAAAUACAAGUUCAAUUGUGAAA
This is a long non-coding RNA of Apis cerana (Asiatic honeybee), 2342 nucleotides long. RefSeq lists it as uncharacterized. The record is from RefSeq and is a predicted model, not a curated record. NCBI's taxonomy places the organism in Eukaryota, Metazoa, Arthropoda, Insecta, Hymenoptera, Apidae.